This 26-nucleotide non-coding RNA is filed under the name Homo sapiens (human). The record is from RNAcentral. Lineage: Eukaryota; Metazoa; Chordata; Mammalia; Primates; Hominidae.
UGCCCAAAGAUGUUUGCCAUAGACUA